Molecule: long non-coding RNA, 535 nt
Filed under: Mytilus galloprovincialis (Mediterranean mussel)
Lineage: Eukaryota; Metazoa; Mollusca; Bivalvia; Mytilida; Mytilidae
Source: RNAcentral
AUCGUUUUGAUAUAAAAUACUCUUCUACUUUUAUAGAAACAGGAUUCAUCAAAAAUUCAAUAUCUCAAAAGGGACAUCAUAAGGACUCCCUUGUGAGGAUGUGGGAGCCCUACAGUUUUCACUUUGUCCAACGGUCUAUAAUUUUUGUAAAUGCAAAAUCUACAAAAAAAUAGAUAGUAAACUGGAUCAAGAAUGUUGAAUGAAAUAUGUUCUGCAAAUUUGGACGACAGUUAAUUGCAAUUAUGUACCAUUUCAACAAUAGAAGUAGUAUAGACUUGCAAAUCCAUACCAUUACAUCACAGGAAGUAGUAUGGUUGUCUGAGCGAAGCCAAUUGGAAGUACGUACCUCUUAGUGAAGCUAAUUGGGAGCACACCCUCUGUCUUGUUGUGAAGCUGAUUGGAAGCAGUACAUAUAUACCUGUGUCUGCAAAAACUAAUUAGAAGUAGUACCCCUGGCAGAGCGGUCCCAAUUAGAAGCAUGUAACUCUGAGGGAAGCCAAUUGGAAGCAUGUACCUCUGCAAAAUUUGAUCAAAC